GUCAUAUGCUUGUCUCAAAGAUUAAGCCAUGCAUGUCUCAGUACAAGCCAAAUUAAGGUGAAACCGCGAAAGGCUCAUUAAAUCAGUUAUGGUUCCUUAGAUCGUACCCACAAUUACUUGGAUAACUGUGGUAAUUCUAGAGCUAAUACAUGCAAACAGAGCUCCGACCGGAGACGGAAGGAGUGCUUUUAUUAGAUCAAAACCAAUCGGUGGCGGGUUCGCGCUCGUCAUCGUACAACUUGGUGACUCUGAAUAACUUUACGCUGAUCGCACGGUCAUCGCACCGGCGACGCAUCUUUCAAAUGUCUGCCUUAUCAACUGUCGAUGGUAGGUUCUGCGCCUACCAUGGUUGUAACGGGUAACGGGGAAUCAGGGUUCGAUUCCGGAGAGGGAGCCUGAGAAACGGCUACCACAUCCAAGGAAGGCAGCAGGCGCGCAAAUUACCCACUCCCGGCACGGGGAGGUAGUGACGAAAAAUAACGAUACGGGACUCAUCCGAGGCCCCGUAAUCGGAAUGAGUACACUCUAAACCCUUUAACGAGGAUCAAUUGGAGGGCAAGUCUGGUGCCAGCAGCC
Molecule: ribosomal RNA, 576 nt
Filed under: Sybulus sp. ARC1908
Lineage: Eukaryota; Metazoa; Arthropoda; Insecta; Coleoptera; Curculionidae
Description: SSU rRNA
Rfam family: Eukaryotic small subunit ribosomal RNA
Source: RNAcentral